This 207-nucleotide ribosomal RNA is filed under the name uncultured bacterium. Its description in RNAcentral is "partial 16S ribosomal RNA". It matches the Rfam family "Bacterial small subunit ribosomal RNA", at positions 568 to 774 of the family's 1533-position model. The record is from RNAcentral.
CACGUAGGCGGCGCUCUAAGUCAGGUGUGAAAUCCCCCGGCUCAACCGGGGAACUGCACCUGAUACUGGAGUGCUCGAGGACGGUAGGGGUGAGUGGAACUCCAGGUGGGGCGGUGAAAUGCGUAGAUAUCUGGAGGAACACCGGUGGCGAAAGCGGCUCACUGGACCGUCUCUGACGCUGAGGUGCGAAAGCUAGGGUAGCAAACG